This 71-nucleotide transfer RNA is filed under the name Barrevirus sp. RNAcentral describes it as "tRNA-Arg". Lineage: Varidnaviria; Bamfordvirae; Nucleocytoviricota; Megaviricetes; Imitervirales; Mimiviridae. The record is from RNAcentral.
AAGCCCUAGAGGGUAUUGAACCCCCUUCUCGUGAUUAGAAGUCACGCGUUCUACAUUUAAACUAUAGGGCC